GUUGGGUAGGGGAGCGUUCUGUAAGCCUGUGAAGGUGGCCUGUGAGGGUUGCUGGAGGUAUCAGAAGUGCGAAUGCUGACAUAAGUAACGAUAAAGCGGGUGAAAAGCCCGCUCGCCGGAAGACCAAGGGUUCCUGUCCAACGUUAAUCGGGGCAGGGUGAGUCGACCCCUAAGGCGAGGCCGAAAGGCGUAGUCGAUGGGAAACGGGUUAAUAUUCCCGUACUUGGUGUUACUGCGAAGGGGGGACGGAGAAGGCUAUGUUGGCCGGGCGACGGUUGUCCCGGUUUAAGCGUGUAGGUGUGUGUUCCAGGUAAAUCCGGUUCACUUUAACACUGAGGCGUGACGACGAGGCACUACGGUGCUGAAGCAACAAAUGCCCUGCUUCCAGGAAAAGCCUCUAAGCAUCAGGUAACAUCAAAUCGUACCCCAAACCGACACAGGUGGUCAGGUAGAGAAUACCAAGGCGCUUGAGAGAACUCGGGUGAAGGAACUAGGCAAAAUGGUGCCGUAACUUCGGGAGAAGGCACGCUGACACGUAGGUGAAGUGAUUUACUCACGGAGCUGAAGUCAGUCGAAGAUACCAGCUGGCUGCAACUGUUUAUUAAAAACACAGCACUGUGCAAACACGAAAGUGGACGUAUACGGUGUGACGCCUGCCCGGUGCCGGAAGGUUAAUUGAUGGGGUCAGCGCAAGCGAAGCUCCUGAUCGAAGCCCCGGUAAACGGCGGCCGUAACUAUAACGGUCCUAAGGUAGCGAAAUUCCUUGUCGGGUAAGUUCCGACCUGCACGAAUGGCGUAAUGAUGGCCAGGCUGUCUCCACCCGAGACUCAGUGAAAUUGAACUCGCUGUGAAGAUGCAGUGUACCCGCGGCAAGACGGAAAGACCCCGUGAACCUUUACUAUAGCUUGACACUGAACAUUGAGCCUUGAUGUGUAGGAUAGGUGGGAGGCUUUGAAGCGUGGACGCCAGUCUGCGUGGAGCCGACCUUGAAAUACCACCCUUUAAUGUUUGAUGUUCUAACGUGGACCCGUAAUCCGGGUUGCGGACAGUGUCUGGUGGGUAGUUUGACUGGGGCGGUCUCCUCCUAAAGAGUAACGGAGGAGCACGAAGGUUGGCUAAUCCUGGUCGGACAUCAGGAGGUUAGUGCAAUGGCAUAAGCCAGCUUGACUGCGAGCGUGACGGCGCGAGCAGGUGCGAAAGCAGGUCAUAGUGAUCCGGUGGUUCUGAAUGGAAGGGCCAUCGCUCAACGGAUAAAAGGUACUCCGGGGAUAACAGGCUGAUACCGCCCAAGAGUUCAUAUCGACGGCGGUGUUUGGCACCUCGAUGUCGGCUCAUCACAUCCUGGGGCUGAAGUAGGUCCCAAGGGUAUGGCUGUUCGCCAUUUAAAGUGGUACGCGAGCUGGGUUUAGAACGUCGUGAGACAGUUCGGUCCCUAUCUGCCGUGGGCGCUGGAGAACUGAGGGGGGCUGCUCCUAGUACGAGAGGACCGGAGUGGACGCAUCACUGGUGUUCGGGUUGUCAUGCCAAUGGCACUGCCCGGUAGCUAAAUGCGGAAGAGAUAAGUGCUGAAAGCAUCUAAGCACGAAACUUGCCCCGAGAUGAGUUCUCCCUGAGACUUUAGGUCUCCUGAAGGAACGUUGAAGACGACGACGUUGAUAGGCCGGGUGUGUAAGCGCAGCGAUGCGUUGAGCUAACCGGUACUAAUGAACCGUGAGGCUUAACCUUACAACGCCGAAG
Molecule: ribosomal RNA, 1737 nt
Filed under: Salmonella enterica
Lineage: Bacteria; Pseudomonadati; Pseudomonadota; Gammaproteobacteria; Enterobacterales; Enterobacteriaceae
Description: bacterial LSU rRNA
Rfam family: Bacterial large subunit ribosomal RNA
Source: RNAcentral